CCCUUAGAUGUCCUGGGCUGCACGCGCGCUACACUGAUGUGUCCAGUAAGCACCUAACCUCUUCCGAAAGGAACGGGUAACCUUUGCAAAGCACAUCGUGAUGGGGAUAGAUUAUUGCAAUUAUUAGUCUUGAACGAGGAAUUCCUAGUAAGCACAAGUCAUCAGCUUGUGUUGAUUACGUCCCUACCCUUUGUACACACCGCCCGUCGCUCCUACCGAUUGAGUGAUCCGGUGAGGCUCUGGGACCUGGACGGAAAGAGCGUUUCGCUUGUUCUGUUUGGGAAACUUGGUCGAACCUUAUCAUUUAGAGGAAGGAGAAGUCGUAACA
Molecule: ribosomal RNA, 328 nt
Filed under: uncultured eukaryote
Lineage: Eukaryota
Description: partial 18S ribosomal RNA
Rfam family: Eukaryotic small subunit ribosomal RNA
Source: RNAcentral